CGGGUGAGUAAUGCUUUGGAAUCUUCCCAGUAGUGGGGAACAACCAGUCGAAAGAUUGGCUAAUACCGCAUACGUCGGAGACGAGAAAGCGGGGGAUCGUAAGACCUCGCGCUAUUGGAUGAGCCAAAGUCGGAUUAGCUAGUUGGUGAGGUAAUGGCUCACCAAGGCGACAAUCCGUAGCUGGUCUGAGAGGACGACCAGCCACACCGGAACUGAGACACGGUCCGG
Molecule: ribosomal RNA, 228 nt
Filed under: uncultured bacterium
Lineage: Bacteria
Description: partial 16S ribosomal RNA
Rfam family: Bacterial small subunit ribosomal RNA
Source: RNAcentral